RNAcentral lists this long non-coding RNA (711 nucleotides) under Gallus gallus (chicken). The record is from RNAcentral. Lineage: Eukaryota; Metazoa; Chordata; Aves; Galliformes; Phasianidae.
AGCUCUGAUAAUUCAAACUGGGAAGUGUAUUCCAUUGCUUUGUUUUGCACAGUAAUUGAGACUAAAGUAAUUGAGCACAGUGUCACAUCCCUAAAACCUUAGAAGUUCAUAAUCAAAUUCUGAUGUUCUACUGCAAAAAGAAGAACAAAAAGAGUGACAAAGUAGAUGUUCCUGGAGGCAAAACAUGUAGUACAGUGCACCUCAUUACUUAGUAAUGCAGCACACAUACAUAUGAUCGUCAUCCAUCAUUUUUACCAUCACCCUGAACAGAGUCAUAGCCAACUUAUAGGGUCCUGUGGGUACCUUUCAUCCUAAGCACUAAGUCUCUUUCAGUUCAGGCCAUCACAAAUCUAUCUUUUGAAGUAUCCCCUUUAUGUUUUUCAGUUAAUGAAUGUAAAUUUUUGAUGGAAAAUAAUUUCAGUGCAAAGGUAGCCAGACAGUGCUUUUGGCUGUGUACCAGCCAGCAGGUCAGGGAUUUGUUUGUUUGUUUGUUUGUUUGUUUGUUUUGUCUCUUGUAUGUCUCUGUAUGAGAUACAUAGGUCACAACACAGAUAAUGCCUCCUAUUUAUUUCCACAGAAGCUACAACAGAUUCAAUGAGCACAGUAACACUGUUUGAUUGAGCAAAUUCUCAGCUACAAAGCAUUGUUCUUCGACAUAGUCACCAGCAUUAAACAUGCAUUUUGACAGUGAUGAACAAGAGCCUGCAUGCC